This 488-nucleotide ribosomal RNA is filed under the name uncultured bacterium. RNAcentral's name for it is "bacterial SSU rRNA". It matches the Rfam family "Bacterial small subunit ribosomal RNA", at positions 29 to 507 of the family's 1533-position model. The record is from RNAcentral.
AUGAACGCUAGCUACAGGCUUAACACAUGCAAGUCGAGGGCAGCAUGGUCUUAGCUUGCUAAGGCCGAUGGCGACCGGCGCACGGGUGAGUAACACGUAUCCAACCUGCCGUCUACUCUUGGACAGCCUUCUGAAAGGAAGAUUAAUACAAGAUGGCAUCAUGAGUCCGCAUGUUCACAUGAUUAAAGGUAUUCCGGUAGACGAUGGGGAUGCGUUCCAUUAGAUAGUAGGCGGGGUAACGGCCCACCAAGGCGACGAUCAGUAGGGGUUCUGAGAGGAAGGUCCCCCACAUUGGAACUGAGACACGGUCCAAACUCCUACGGGAGGCAGCAGUGAGGAAUAUUGGUCAAUGGACGAGAGUCUGAACCAGCCAAGUAGCGUGCAGGAUGACGGCCCUAUGGGUUGUAAACUGCUUUUAUAAGGGAAUAAAGUGAGUCUCGUGAGACUUUUUGCAUGUACCUUAUGAAUAAGGACCGGCUAAUUCCGUG